Molecule: transfer RNA, 74 nt
Filed under: uncultured archaeon
Lineage: Archaea
Description: tRNA-Val(tac)
Rfam family: tRNA
About the family: Transfer RNA (tRNA) molecules are approximately 80 nucleotides in length. Their secondary structure includes four short double-helical elements and three loops (D, anti-codon, and T loops). Further hydrogen bonds mediate the characteristic L-shaped molecular structure. tRNAs have two regions of fundamental functional importance: the anti-codon, which is responsible for specific mRNA codon recognition, and the 3' end, to which the tRNAs corresponding amino acid is attached (by aminoacyl-tRNA synthetases). tRNAs cope with the degeneracy of the genetic code in two manners: having more than one tRNA (with a specific anti-codon) for a particular amino acid; and 'wobble' base-pairing, i.e. permitting non-standard base-pairing at the 3rd anti-codon position.
Source: RNAcentral
GGGCCCGUAGUUUAGUGGUUAUAACGCCACACUUACACUGUGGAUGCCGCCGGUUCAAAUCCGGCCGGGCCCAC